GGUGGUUGAAGCAAAGACCCUUUUAGGUGAUCUCACGAAAGUGAAGUCCGGGGACUGUGUUGUUGCCUUUUCAAGAAGAGAGAUAUUUGAAGUAAAAUUGGCGAUUGAGAAGCAUUCUAAUCACCGUUGUUGUGUAAUUUAUGGUGCCUUACCACCAGAGACACGACGACAGCAAGCUACCUUAUUUAACGAUCCAAACAAUGAGUUUGAUGUCUUGGUUGCCAGUGACGCAGUCGGAAUGGGUUUAAACCUAAACAUCCGGAG
RNAcentral lists this unclassified non-coding RNA (264 nucleotides) under Hevea brasiliensis (rubber tree). The record is from RNAcentral. Lineage: Eukaryota; Viridiplantae; Streptophyta; Magnoliopsida; Malpighiales; Euphorbiaceae.